This 459-nucleotide ribosomal RNA is filed under the name uncultured bacterium. Its description in RNAcentral is "partial 16S ribosomal RNA". It matches the Rfam family "Bacterial small subunit ribosomal RNA", at positions 338 to 795 of the family's 1533-position model. The record is from RNAcentral.
CCUACGGGAGGCAGCAGUGAGGAAUAUUGGUCAAUUGGUUCGAGCCUGAACCAGCCAAGUCGCGUGAGGGAAGACGGUCCUAUGGAUUGUAAACCUCUUUUGUCGGGGAGCAAAAGACGCCACGCGUGGCUUUCCGAGAGUACCCGAAGAAAAAGCAUCGGCUAACUCCGUGCCAGCAGCCGCGGUAAUACGGAGGAUGCGAGCGUUAUCCGGAUUUAUUGGGUUUAAAGGGUGCGCAGGCGGAAGAUCAAUUCAGCGGUAAAAUUGAGAGGCUCAACCUCUUCGAGCCGUUGAAACUGGUUUGCUGGAGUGAGCGAGAAGUAUGCGGAAGGCGUGGUGUAGCGGUGAAAUGCAUAGAUAUCACGCAGAACUCCGAUUGCGAAGGCAGCAUACCGGAGCUCAACUGACGCUCAUGCACGAAAGUGUGGGUAUCGAACAGGAUUAGAUACCCGUGUAGUC